RNAcentral lists this long non-coding RNA (1321 nucleotides) under Homo sapiens (human). Its description in RNAcentral is "HSALNT0332013". Lineage: Eukaryota; Metazoa; Chordata; Mammalia; Primates; Hominidae. The record is from RNAcentral.
CCCAAACCUCUCUCGCACGCGGGGACUGAGCACGGCCCGAAAAGCCGAGGACAGCCGGACUCACCCUGUAGUUAUAGUAGUGCGUCUGCACAAGAUGCCGGUGGCGCGACUUGUGGUUGCCGAAGUUGGAUUUCUCGCAAACCAAGAUGGGGUCUUGCUGUGUUGCCCAGACUGGUCUCAAACUCCUGAGCUCAAGUGAUCCACCCACCGUGGCCUCCCAAAGUGCUGAGAUUAAAGGCUACCCAUGGGGACCUCAACAGCUUUGCCAUUGCACACUAUCUUUGCAGACAAGAUCUUAAUCACAUCCAACUUUCUGCAGUUGCACAGGGUACCUCAGACCCACAUCCCAGAUGACAUUCCUCAGAAGCUCGCAGCUGGAGAUGACAUCACCUUAGACAACAUCACCCUAGCCCAAGACAUCGCUAUUAGAGAUACAUCACCUGGACACUAAAGCCUCCAACCCAGUGACACUCUCAAGGUGCUGACAAAAUGGACAUGGACAUUUGUUGCUUUUCUUCUUUUGAAUUAGGAACUCUAUUGUGUUUCCUGAAUUUACUGUCUGCUUGGCCCAUGAUCCUGGUAUGUUCCUUGCUCUCUGCCAAAACAUGCACCGUCCCCUCCACACCUAAAGGAAAACCUGGUAGAAGCUACUACUCUCAAUGCCAUUCUAAAAUUGACGAAGAGUAUUAUUUUCCCCAAGAGGCAGCUGCUGCAGGCCAGUGAAUCCUCUGGACCCUGGGGAGAGGGUCAUACACUCCCUAGUGACUUCUACUGUAUGCUCCAGCUUUCCACCAGGACCUCCUGCCCUGUCCCCAACUGUAACGACCACAACCACCCCAUCCCCUUGGUUACACACAAAUAUCACCAGUCUUUACAUGUACUUUACUGACUUCUCAGAUAAUACCCUCCAACAAGAUAACUGCAGGACUUGCCACCAUGACCUGAGAAAUACACCAAGAUAUUAUUGUCCAAUUUUUUUGAGAUAUAUAUAUAUUUCUCAUACUUUUAACAUACUCUGCAAUCCACCAAGAUAUUGGUAGAGACCCUGGAAAUUUCAAAUCUAUUUCGUCUGCUAAUGCCAUGUGAAUGGGAAACUUAGAUACAGGCUGGCCUACAAGGACUCCUUAUACUUCAAUUUUUGUUCCUCCUUUCAACUCUCAUAAAAAAUAUUUUCUGUACUAUUUAGGGCAAAUGAUGGCCUUCUUUCUAAGUCUCAUCCAUCAUUGCUGCAAAGGUGCCUUAGUUUGAUGUUAAAGUGUCACAGGGCCAAUGUAUUGACCAUGUUUCUGGCGUCUAUAAAGUCGAUGUUUUAAUAUCUGUC